RNAcentral lists this ribosomal RNA (253 nucleotides) under uncultured bacterium. Its description in RNAcentral is "partial 16S ribosomal RNA". It matches the Rfam family "Bacterial small subunit ribosomal RNA", at positions 524 to 776 of the family's 1533-position model. The record is from RNAcentral.
UACGUAGGGUCCGAGCGUUGUCCGGAUUUACUGGGCGUGAAGAGCGCGCAGGCGGUCGUUCAAGUCGAGUGUGAAAGCCCCCGGCUCAACUGGGGAGGGUCAUUCGAUACUGAUCGACUCGAAGGCAGGAGAGGGAAGCGGAAUUCCCGGUGUAGUGGUGAAAUGCGUAGAUAUCGGGAGGAACACCAGUGGCGAAGGCGGCUUCCUGGCAUGUUCUUGACGCUGAGGCGCGAAAGCUAGGGGAGCAAACGGG